AUACGGAGGGGACAAGCGUUAUUCGGAAUCACUGGGCGUAAAGGACGCGUAGGCGGGUUAUUAAGUCGGGUGCGAAAUCCAAUGGCUCAACCAUUGAACUGCAUUCGAAACUGAUAACCUAGAGUAUGGAAGGGGCAGGUGGAAUUAGUGGUGUAGGGGUAAAAUCCGUAGAUAUCACUAGGAAUACCGAAAGCGAAGGCGACCUGCUGGGACAUUACUGACGCUGAGGCGUGAAAGCGUGGGGAGCAAACAGGAUUAGAAACCCGAGUAGUCC
RNAcentral lists this ribosomal RNA (274 nucleotides) under uncultured bacterium. RNAcentral describes it as "partial 16S ribosomal RNA". It matches the Rfam family "Bacterial small subunit ribosomal RNA", at positions 523 to 796 of the family's 1533-position model. The record is from RNAcentral.